This 289-nucleotide ribosomal RNA is filed under the name uncultured Vibrio sp. RNAcentral describes it as "partial 16S ribosomal RNA". It matches the Rfam family "Bacterial small subunit ribosomal RNA", at positions 1093 to 1382 of the family's 1533-position model. The record is from RNAcentral. Lineage: Bacteria; Pseudomonadati; Pseudomonadota; Gammaproteobacteria; Vibrionales; Vibrionaceae.
CGAGCGCACCCUUAUCCUUGUUUGCCAGCGAGUAAUGUCGGGAACUCCAGGGAGACUGCCGGUGAUAAACCGGAGGAAGGUGGGGACGACGUCAAGUCAUCAUGGCCCUUACGAGUAGGGCUACACACGUACUACAAUGGCGCAUACAGAGGGCGGCCAACUUGCGAAAGUGAGCAAAUCCCAAAAAGUGCGUCGUAGUCCGGAUUGGAGUCUGCAACUCGACUCCAUGAAGCCGGAAUCGCUAGUAAUCGUGGAUCAGAAUGCCACGGUGAAUACGUUCCCGGGCCUU